GAUGAACGCUGGCGGCGUGCCUAAUACAUGCAAGUCGAGCGAACAGACGAGGAGCUUGCUCCUCUGACGUUAGCGGCGGACGGGUGAGUAACACGUGGAUAACCUACCUAUAAGACUGGGAUAACUUCGGGAAACCGGAGCUAAUACCGGAUAAUAUAUUGAACCGCAUGGUUCAAUAGUUAAAGACGGUUUUGCUGUCACUUAUAGAUGGAUCCGCGCCGCAUUAGCUAGUUGGUAAGGUAACGGCUUACCAAGGCAACGAUGCGUAGCCGACCUGAGAGGGUGAUCGGCCACACUGGAACUGAGACACGGUCCAGACUCCUACGGGAGGCAGCAGUAGGGAAUCUUCCGCAAUGGGCGAAAGCCUGACGGGGCAACGCCGCGUGAGUGAUGAAGGUCUUCGGAUCGUAAAACUCUGUUAUUAGGGAAGAACAAAUGUGUAAGUAACUAUGCACGUCUUGACGGUACCUAAUCAGAAAGCCACGGCUAACUACGUG
This 497-nucleotide ribosomal RNA is filed under the name uncultured bacterium. Its description in RNAcentral is "partial 16S ribosomal RNA". It matches the Rfam family "Bacterial small subunit ribosomal RNA", at positions 28 to 507 of the family's 1533-position model. The record is from RNAcentral.